UACGGAGGUUGCAAGCGUUGUUCGGAAUUACUGGGCGUAAAGGGAGCGCAGGCGGUUAGGUCAGUCUGAAGUGAAAGCCCGGGGCUCAACCCCGGAAGGGCUUUGGAUACUGCCUAACUUGAGUACGUGAGAGGAGAGCGGAAUUCCAGGUGUAGCGGUGAAAUGCAUAGAUAUCUGGAGGAACACCGGUGGCGAAAGCGGCUCUCUGGCACGCUACUGACGCUGAGGCUCGAAAGCGUGGGGAGCGAACGGGAUUAGAUACCCCGGUAGUCCCUGA
This 277-nucleotide ribosomal RNA is filed under the name uncultured prokaryote. RNAcentral describes it as "partial 16S ribosomal RNA". It matches the Rfam family "Bacterial small subunit ribosomal RNA", at positions 524 to 800 of the family's 1533-position model. The record is from RNAcentral.